ACUAAGCUGGCGGGCCUUUAUCCCACAAAAAUCUAAUUAACAGCUAGACGUCUAAUUCCAGCGGACUUCAACUUA
Molecule: transfer RNA, 75 nt
Filed under: Pachydactylus kobosensis
Lineage: Eukaryota; Metazoa; Chordata; Lepidosauria; Squamata; Gekkonidae
Description: tRNA-Asn
Source: RNAcentral